CAGCAGCCGCGGGAAUACGGAGGGGGCUAGCGUUGUUCGGAAUUACUGGGCGUAAAGCGCACGUAGGCGGCUGUGUAAGUCAGAGGUGAAAGCCCGGGGCUCAACCCCGGAAUAGCCUUUGAGACUGCAUAGCUUGAACACGGGAGAGGUGAGUGGAAUUCCGAGUGUAGAGGUGAAAUUCGUAGAUAUUCGGAAGAACACCAGUGGCGAAGGCGGCUCACUGGACUGGUAUUGACGCUGAGGUGCGAAAGCGUGGGGAGCAAAUAGGAUUAGAUACCCCAGUAGUCCCUGUCUCUUAUAA
RNAcentral lists this ribosomal RNA (301 nucleotides) under uncultured bacterium. Its description in RNAcentral is "partial 16S ribosomal RNA". It matches the Rfam family "Bacterial small subunit ribosomal RNA", at positions 509 to 809 of the family's 1533-position model. The record is from RNAcentral.